Cinara cedri is the source of this 504-nucleotide non-coding RNA. Lineage: Eukaryota; Metazoa; Arthropoda; Insecta; Hemiptera; Aphididae. The record is from the annotation of a GenBank genome assembly.
CAUUAUCAACCGAACUCCGCUUUUUUUCCCGUUUUUCUGUUAGUAAUAGUUAAUCGUUGCAUACAAAUAUACAUUAAAUUUACUCUCUACUACCUUCCCAAUUUCUCACCUACAACAGUGGCCCACUGAUCGUGCGAAGUAUGCCUGUCUUUUUUAUAUUGUGUACAAACACUUUACCAGAAAUCUUGCUCCGAAGUAUCAAGUUUAGCACAUUUUCUGAAAAGGAAUUUUUCUGGGGUGAUACUUUAGGAAGUGCUGUUUUGAUUUUUCAAGGAGUUUUCUGAACAAAUAGGAAGAACUGGACAAAAACAGGAAAAUGUAUGAAAAUAAUGAUUUUUAUUUUAAUUUUGUUAUUUGUGGUAAUUCAGUUAAAUAUAUUCGUAGAGACUUAAAAUGUAGGAAAAAGUUUAUAUUCGAUAUUUCUAGACGUGGUAAAAUUAUCAAAAAAAUUAAGCCAUUUUUGAGAUAUUUAUAGACAUUUUAAUUUUGCAAGUUAGUACAUAA